CCUACGGGUGGCAGCAGUGAGGAAUAUUGGUCAAUGGGCGCGAGUCUGAACCAGCCAAGUCGCGUGAAGGAUGACUGCCCUACGGGUUGUAAACUUCUUUUAUAAAGGAAUAAAGUGAGGUACGCGUGCCUUUUUGUAUGUACUUUAUGAAUAAGGAUCGGCUAACUCCGUGCCAGCAGCCGCGGUAAUACGGAGGAUCCGAGCGUUAUCCGGAUUUAUUGGGUUUAAAGGGAGCGUAGAUGGGUUGUUAAGUCAGUGGUGAAAGUUUGCGGCUCAACUGUAAAAUUGCAAUUGAUACUGGCAGUCUAGAGUACAGUUGAGGUAGGCGGAAUUCGUGGUGUAGCGGUGAAAUGCUUAGAGAUCACGAAGAACACCGAUUGCGAAGGCAGCUUACUAAGCUGCCACUGACAUUGAUGCUCGAAAGUGUGGGUAGCAAACAGGAUUAGAUACCCUAGUAGUC
Molecule: ribosomal RNA, 460 nt
Filed under: uncultured bacterium
Lineage: Bacteria
Description: partial 16S ribosomal RNA
Rfam family: Bacterial small subunit ribosomal RNA
Source: RNAcentral